AGUGAACGCUGGCGGUAGGCCUAAUACAUGCAAGUCGAACGGCAGCACAGUAAGAGCUUGCUCUUACGGGUGGCGAGUGGCGGACGGGUGAGGAAUACAUCGGAAUCUACUUUUUCGUGGGGGAUAACGUAGGGACACUUACGCUAAUACCGCAUACGACCUACGGGUGAAAGCAGGGGAUCUUCGGACCUUGCGCGAUUGAAUGAGCCGAUGUCGGAUUAGCUAGUUGGCGGGGUAAAGGCCCACCAAGGCGACGAUCCGUAGCUGGUCUGAGAGGAUGAUCAGCCACACUGGAACUGAGACACGGUCCAGACUCCAACGGGAGGCAGCAGUGGGGAAUAUUGGACAAUGGGCGCAAGCCUGAUCCAGCCAUACCGCGUGGGUGAAGAAGGCCUUCGGGUUGUAAAGCCCUUUUGUUGGGAAAGAAAAGCAGCAGGUUAAUACCCCGCUGUUCUGACGGUACCCAAAGAAUAAGCACCGGCUAACUUCGUG
This 492-nucleotide ribosomal RNA is filed under the name uncultured bacterium. RNAcentral describes it as "partial 16S ribosomal RNA". It matches the Rfam family "Bacterial small subunit ribosomal RNA", at positions 29 to 507 of the family's 1533-position model. The record is from RNAcentral.